UUGGUCUACGUAGCCACACACUGUAGCACAUCACCGGCCGAGUAAACCGGGUAAACAGGCUACACUUGAAUUCGGUCUUAAAUAUGUAAAACGAUAUUAUCCUGCACCAUGAACAGUGGAACCCCACGUUCAUAAAGCGAGUGCAUGCUUUAAGUUAAAAGUAAAACGAAGCAGACUUACCUGUUUUGAAGAAUCCAUCUUGAGAUAGCCGAGGACAGCUGAAGACAUGAAAGGGGAGAGAGAGGGGGAACAACAUGCAGCAAAGGGCCGCAGGCCGGAGUCGAACCCGCGGCCGCUGCGUUGAGGGGCAAACCUCCACACAUGGGCGCCUGCUCCAACAGUGACCAGAGAGCAGACACAGACCGGUUCACGGUGGCUGCGGACGUUUGAAAUUCAGAUCAUCUGUUCUCUGUCAUCAGAGGGCAAGAGGUGCAUGGACGGCAUCCUUGGUGGUUCCAAUUUCCAGCCCAUUCCCCAAUUUUCAACCCCAAUGACAGACAACACACGCUUCAAUGGCUGUUCAGCUAAAGGAGGGAAUUGAAGCGGACCGUAAAAUGAUGGACUGCUGGUUUCCUGCCGUAUUGAUGCCAGCUGGCACCGCACAGUUAUGGUUUAACAUACAUUUCAUAAUGUAUUGAUACAUAUAUAUUAUCACAUUUACAUUGUUUUGGAAUUUGGUGUA
Perca fluviatilis (European perch) is the source of this 682-nucleotide long non-coding RNA. RefSeq lists it as uncharacterized. The transcript is spliced from 5 exons. The record is from RefSeq and is a predicted model, not a curated record. NCBI's taxonomy places the organism in Eukaryota, Metazoa, Chordata, Actinopteri, Perciformes, Percidae.